RNAcentral lists this small RNA (326 nucleotides) under Histoplasma capsulatum var. duboisii H88. RNAcentral describes it as "Histoplasma capsulatum H88 hypothetical RNA". Lineage: Eukaryota; Fungi; Ascomycota; Eurotiomycetes; Onygenales; Ajellomycetaceae. The record is from RNAcentral.
UCAUCUUUGAAUUUUUAUUCCAUCUCUCUACCUUCUCAUCUGUCUAUAGUUAUGCUUAAUAUUUGAUGUCUGAUUAAUUACUAAUGAAAUAGAGGUUGCUAACUAGUAGCUAUCUUGAUAUAUCAUGCUUAUCUACUAGAUAUUCAAUCAAUUGCUAUGAGAAUAAAGGGUGCUGUAAUGGGGAGCACUGGCGCAGCACUAACUACCCACAAAAAGAUUAUAAGACAACUAACUGGCUUCGCCUAUCAAUCAAGAGGCGCGUUUGCCCACGCCUUGAAAAAGGGUGCUAAGGGCAGCCUGCUCUUAGUACUCUUCUUUACUUUAAA